AUUGAACGCUGGCGGCAGGCCUAACACAUGCAAGUCGAACGGUAACAGAAAGCAGCUUGCUGCUUUGCUGACGAGUGGCGGACGGGUGAGUAAUGUCUGGGAAGCUGCCUGAUGGAGGGGGAUAACUACUGGAAACGGUAGCUAAUACCGCAUAACGUCGCAAGACCAAAGAGGGGGACCUUCGGGCCUCUUGCCAUCGGAUGUGCCCAGAUGGGAUUAGCUAGUAGGUGGGGUAACGGCUCACCUAGGCGACGAUCCCUAGCUGGUCUGAGAGGAUGACCAGCCACACUGGAACUGAGACACGGUCCAGACUCCUACGGGAGGCAGCAGUGGGGAAUAUUGCACAAUGGGCGCAAGCCUGAUGCAGCCAUGCCGCGUGUAUGAAGAAGGCCUUCGGGUUGUAAAGUACUUUCAGCGGGGAGGAAGGGAGUAAAGUUAAUACCUUUGCUCAUUGACGUUACCCGCAGAAGAAGCACCGGCUAACUCCGUG
RNAcentral lists this ribosomal RNA (490 nucleotides) under uncultured bacterium. Its description in RNAcentral is "partial 16S ribosomal RNA". It matches the Rfam family "Bacterial small subunit ribosomal RNA", at positions 30 to 507 of the family's 1533-position model. The record is from RNAcentral.